CCUACGGGAGGCUGCAGUGGGGAAUAUUGGACAAUGGGGGGAACCCUGAUCCAGCCAUGCCGCGUGUGUGAAGAAGGCCCUCGGGUUGUAAAGCACUUUCAGUGAGGAAGAACGCCUGGUGGUUAAUACCCAUCAGGAAAGACAUCACUCACAGAAGAAGCACCGGCUAACUCCGUGCCAGCAGCCGCGGUAAUACGGAGGGUGCGAGCGUUAAUCGGAAUUACUGGGCGUAAAGCGCGCGUAGGUGGCUUGAUAAGCCGGUUGUGAAAGCCCCGGGCUCAACCUGGGAACGGCAUCCGGAACUGUCAAGCUAGAGUGCAGGAGAGGAAGGUAGAAUUCCCGGUGUAGCGGUGAAAUGCGUAGAGAUCGGGAGGAAUACCAGUGGCGAAGGCGGCCUACUGGACUGACACUGACACUGAGGUGCGAAAGCGUGGGUAGCAAACAGGAUUAGAUACCCGUGUAGUC
RNAcentral lists this ribosomal RNA (465 nucleotides) under Vreelandella stevensii. RNAcentral's name for it is "partial 16S ribosomal RNA". It matches the Rfam family "Bacterial small subunit ribosomal RNA", at positions 338 to 795 of the family's 1533-position model. Lineage: Bacteria; Pseudomonadati; Pseudomonadota; Gammaproteobacteria; Oceanospirillales; Halomonadaceae. The record is from RNAcentral.